UAAUAAUUUGUAUCUCAUACGUACACCAUUUUUAUUAGAAAAGGGUCUCGAAAUUAUUAUCUAGUUUAUUUGCUGUGUUAUGUAAUAUACAAAAGAUAAGUAAAUAUCCGUAAUCAAAUGAUAGAUCUUUCUUUAUUGUUUUUCAGUGAGAUAACUUGAUGCCUAGAUUAUAGAUUUAUAAUGUACAUAAUUUACGUCUUAAGAAGGAAUUUCAAAAUUAUUACUUGGUUAUUGGAUGUAUUCUGAAACAUUAAAAAAUUAAGCAGGUAAAUAUCAAAAUUCAAACGACAUCCUUUUCUCUUUGUUUAUUU
This 311-nucleotide long non-coding RNA is filed under the name Ananas comosus (pineapple). RNAcentral's name for it is "long non-coding RNA (ACOM_LNC025512)". The record is from RNAcentral. Lineage: Eukaryota; Viridiplantae; Streptophyta; Magnoliopsida; Poales; Bromeliaceae.